Molecule: ribosomal RNA, 274 nt
Filed under: uncultured bacterium
Lineage: Bacteria
Description: partial 16S ribosomal RNA
Rfam family: Bacterial small subunit ribosomal RNA
Source: RNAcentral
AUACGGAGGGUCCAAGCGUUAUCCGGAAUCAUUGGGUUUAAAGGGUCCGUAGGCGGGCAAUUAAGUCAGAGGUGAAAUCCCACAGCUCAACUGUGGAACUGCCUUUGAUACUGGUUGUCUUGAAUUAUAGUGAAGUAGAUAGAAUAUGUAGUGUAGCGGUGAAAUGCAUAGAUAUUACAUAGAAUACCGAUUGCGAAGGCAGUCUACUAACUGUAUAUUGACGCUGAUGGACGAAAGCGUGGGGAGCGAACAGGAUUAGAAACCCCAGUAGUCC